UACGGAGGAUGCAAGCGUUAUCCGGAAUUAUUGGGCGUAAAGCGUCCGUAGGUGGUCGUUCAAGUCUGUUGUCAAAGCGUGCGGCUCAACCGCAUACGGGCAAUGGAAACUGGAUGACUUGAGUGCGAUAGGGGUGACAGGAAUUCCCGGUGUAGCGGUGAAAUGCGUAGAUAUCAGGAGGAACACCGGUGGCGAAGGCGGGUCUCUGGGCCGAUACUGACGCUGAGGAGCGAAAGCGUGGGGAGCAAACAGG
This 253-nucleotide ribosomal RNA is filed under the name uncultured bacterium. RNAcentral describes it as "partial 16S ribosomal RNA". It matches the Rfam family "Bacterial small subunit ribosomal RNA", at positions 524 to 776 of the family's 1533-position model. The record is from RNAcentral.